AUGCGAGCGCAGGUUGCAGCGGCCGAGGUGGAGAUCGAAGAGAUGUCUUCAAUGGUAGUAGCUGUGGGCGGCGAGAUCAAGAACUAUGGGGAUGUAGGGGCUGACGUCGGAGAUUGUGUCAGCAAGAGAUAUUGGUGCGGCGAGGAUGGGUGCAGGGUAGUUUUGUGGAGCUAUGGUGAGGGCCGAGAGAGAAGCGGCCGCGGCGUUGGCAGCCUUGGCGAUGAGUGCGGCCCGGCGCUCAAAGUAGCCGGGCGGCGGCGGCGGCGGCGGCGUUGGCGGAGCCAUACCCUAAACCCUGGGACCGGUAUCUGA
This 312-nucleotide ribosomal RNA is filed under the name Triticum aestivum (bread wheat). RNAcentral's name for it is "partial small subunit ribosomal RNA". The record is from RNAcentral. Lineage: Eukaryota; Viridiplantae; Streptophyta; Magnoliopsida; Poales; Poaceae.